GUCGAACGGUAACAGGAAGCAGCUUGCUGCUUCGCUGACGAGUGGCGGACGGGUGAGUAAUGUCUGGGAAACUGCCUGAUGGAGGGGGAUAACUACUGGAAACGGUAGCUAAUACCGCAUAACGUCGCAAGACCAAAGAGGGGGACCUUCGGGCCUCUUGCCAUCGGAUGUGCCCAGAUGGGAUUAGCUAGUAGGUGGGGUAACGGCUCACCUAGGCGACGAUCCCUAGCUGGUCUGAGAGGAUGACCAGCCACACUGGAACUGAGACACGGUCCAGACUCCUACGGGAGGCAGCAGUGGGGAAUAUUGCACAAUGGGCGCAAGCCUGAUGCAGCCAUGCCGCGUGUAUGAAGAAGGCCUUCGGGUUGUAAAGUACUUUCAGCGGGGAGGAAGGUGUUGAGGUUAAUAACCUCAGCAAUUGACGUUACCCGCAGAAGAAGCACCGGCUAACUCCGUGCCAGCAGCCGCGGUAAUACGGAGGGUGCAAGCGUUAAUCGGAAUUACUGGGCGUAAAGCGCACGCAGGCGGUCUGUCAAGUCGGAUGUGAAAUCCCCGGGCUCAACCUGGGAACUGCAUUCGAAACUGGCAGGCUAGAGUCUUGUAGAGGGGGGUAGAAUUCCAGGUGUAGCGGUGAAAUGCGUAGAGAUCUGGAGGAAUACCGGUGGCGGA
RNAcentral lists this ribosomal RNA (669 nucleotides) under uncultured Enterobacter sp. RNAcentral describes it as "bacterial SSU rRNA". It matches the Rfam family "Bacterial small subunit ribosomal RNA", at positions 61 to 719 of the family's 1533-position model. The record is from RNAcentral. Lineage: Bacteria; Pseudomonadati; Pseudomonadota; Gammaproteobacteria; Enterobacterales; Enterobacteriaceae.